This 786-nucleotide non-coding RNA is filed under the name Renocera pallida. The record is from RNAcentral. Lineage: Eukaryota; Metazoa; Arthropoda; Insecta; Diptera; Sciomyzidae.
UAAAAGUUUUAUUUUAGCUUUAAAUUUUAUUAUUAAAUUAUUUUACAUGCAAAUCUUUGUGGGAAUAGUUGCUUAUUUAAAAAGUUUUCAGCUUAAUUUUAUUCGCAGUAAUUAGUAUUAUUGAUUAAGGAAACUUAGAAAUAGAAAUUUUAAUUAGUAUUGGCUAAAUUUGUGCCAGCAGCCGCGGUUAUACAAAUAAUGCAAGUAAAUUUCAUUGGUUUUAGUUAAAUAUAUAUAUAUAAAUAAAUUGUAAUAGAAUUAUUAAGUGAAAUUUUAAUUCUAUAAAAGAAUUGUUAUAAGAUAUAAAUCUAAAAAAUUUUUAAUAUAAACUAGGAUUAGAUACCCUAUUAUAAAAAACGUAACAGAAUAACCAGAGUAGUAUUAGCUAUGUUCUUGAAACUUAAAAAAUUUGGCGGUAUUUUAGUCUAUUCAGAGGAACCUGUUCUGUAAUCGAUAAUCCACGAUGGACCUUUCUUUUUCUUGCAUUCAGUUUAUAUACCGUCGUUAUAAGAAUAUUUUAAAAGAAAAAUAAUUUUCAAAAAUUAAUAUUAUAUUUUAUAUCAGAUCAAGGUGUAGCUUAUGAAAAAGUAGAAAUGGGUUACAUUAAAUAUAUUUAAAUGGAAUACUAUAUGAAAAAUAAUAUGAAAGUGGAUUUGAUAGUAAAAUUAUAUAGAUAAUUAAUUUGACUAUAGCUCUAAAAUAUGCACACAUCGCCCGUCGCUCUUAUUCCUAAGGUAAGAUAAGUCGUAACAUAGUAGAUGUACCGGAAGGUGUAUCUAGAAUGUC